AACGAACGCUGGCGGCAGGCUUAACACAUGCAAGUCGAACGCGUGUAGCAAUACACGAGUGGCGCACGGGUGAGUAACGCGUGGAUAUCUGCCUUUUGGUUCGGAAUAACCCCGGGAAACUGGGGCUAAUACCGGAUGGUUCCUUCGGGAUAAAGAUUUAUCGCCAAAAGAUGAGUCCGCGUACGAUUAGCUAGUUGGUGAGGUAAUGGCUCACCAAGGCGACGAUCGUUAGCUGGUCUGAGAGGACGAUCAGCCACACUGGGACUGAGACACGGCCCAGACUCCUACGGGAGGCAGCAGUGGGGAAUAUUGGACAAUGGGGGCAACCCUGAUCCAGCCAUGCCGCGUGAGUGAUGAAGGCCUUCGGGUUGUAAAGCUCUUUUGGCGGGGACGAUGAUGACGGUACCCGCAGAAUAAGCCCCGGCUAACUUCGUGCCAGCAGCCGCGGUAAGACGAAGGGGGCUAGCGUUGUUCGGAAUUACUGGGCGUAAAGCGCGUGUAGGCGGUUGUUCAAGUCGGGUGUGAAAGCCUUGAGCUCAACUCAAGAAAUGCACUCGGUACUGGAUGACUAGAGGACCGGAGAGGAUAGUGGAAUUCCCAGUGUAGUGGUGAAAUACGUAGAGAUUGGGAAGAACACCAGUGGCGAAGGCGGCUAUCUGGACGGUUUCUGACGCUAAGACGCGAAAGCGUGGGGAGCAAACA
RNAcentral lists this ribosomal RNA (702 nucleotides) under alpha proteobacterium enrichment culture clone NB-16. RNAcentral describes it as "bacterial SSU rRNA". It matches the Rfam family "Bacterial small subunit ribosomal RNA", at positions 28 to 774 of the family's 1533-position model. Lineage: Bacteria; Pseudomonadati; Pseudomonadota; Alphaproteobacteria. The record is from RNAcentral.